AAAUUGAAGAGUUUGAUCAUGGCUCAGAUUGAACGCUGGCGGCAGGCCUAACACAUGCAAGUCGAGCGGAAACGAGUUAUCUGAACCUUCGGGGAACGAUAACGGCGUCGAGCGGCGGACGGGUGAGUAAUGCCUAGGAAAUUGCCCUGAUGUGGGGGAUAACCAUUGGAAACGAUGGCUAAUACCGCAUGAUGCCUACGGGCCAAAGAGGGGGACCUUCG
This 221-nucleotide ribosomal RNA is filed under the name Vibrio parahaemolyticus. RNAcentral describes it as "partial 16S ribosomal RNA". It matches the Rfam family "Bacterial small subunit ribosomal RNA", at positions 1 to 217 of the family's 1533-position model. The record is from RNAcentral. RNAcentral also lists the same sequence under 2 other names. Lineage: Bacteria; Pseudomonadati; Pseudomonadota; Gammaproteobacteria; Vibrionales; Vibrionaceae.